RNAcentral lists this transfer RNA (77 nucleotides) under Streptomyces sp. PVA_94-07. Lineage: Bacteria; Bacillati; Actinomycetota; Actinomycetes; Kitasatosporales; Streptomycetaceae. The record is from RNAcentral.
GCGGCCCCGUCGUAGCUGCCGUCCUCGUCGUAGCGGCCGCCGACGACGAGGUCGUCCGAGCCGUCGCCGUCGAAGUC